CAUGGGAUAUUAAAUUACAGAGGGUUUAUUUAUUCACUUACUAUACACUUGUUGCAACAAUUUGUAAAGUGCAUUGGGUAACUGGGGAAGAAAAAUUUCAUAACGUAUAUUGUGUGGGGUUGGUUUGUUGUUAGAGAAGGCUCCAGAAGUAGCAUAUUUGAUGAGUGGUAAAAGAAAUUAGGAACUACUAAUGAAGAUUGCAGGGAAAAUAUAGUCCCAAUCACUAACCUUGUGUUGAAGGCUAGGUUAUUUAAGGCACUGUGAACUUCAAUUCAGGACUGAAUCCUGAGGAGUAAUAAGAAGGGGCUUGCCAAUGAUAAGAAAUUCAUUAAAUUUUAAAAAAAUUAAUUUUGAGGAGGCUUGCUCAUCACAAGAGUGAUAUCAUCGGGUUGGAGCUAUAGCUCAGCGGCAGAGCACUUGCCAAGCAUGUGUGAGACAUAAAAACAAACAGUAGUAGUUUAGUAGUAGUCCAUCUACUACUACAAAAAAAAAAAAGUGAUAUCAUUGAAGCCAAAAAGAGACUAAAAAGUAGUGGGGUCAGAGGGUACUGAACCCAGAAGUAAAAUAAGUUAAAUACUGAAAAGUAUCCAUCAGAUUAGGAAAAGAAAAAAAGUCACAAUGACCAAAAUAGUUUCUGUGGGGUAGCAAAGGCAAAUUCAGAGCACCUUGGAUAUGAAAGGUGCAGGAUAUGCUUCCCAACAUCUAUAUCACAGUACAUAGAACAGAUAUAAUAUUUGAAAAGAGAACAUUGCUCAAAC
This 758-nucleotide long non-coding RNA is filed under the name Marmota monax (woodchuck). Lineage: Eukaryota; Metazoa; Chordata; Mammalia; Rodentia; Sciuridae. The record is from RNAcentral.